GGCCGCGUGGCCCAAUGGAUAAGGCGCUUGACUACGGAUCAAGCGAUUCCAGGUUUCGAGUCCUGGCGUGGUCG
Linderina pennispora is the source of this 74-nucleotide transfer RNA. It matches the Rfam family "tRNA". Rfam says of the family: Transfer RNA (tRNA) molecules are approximately 80 nucleotides in length. Their secondary structure includes four short double-helical elements and three loops (D, anti-codon, and T loops). Further hydrogen bonds mediate the characteristic L-shaped molecular structure. tRNAs have two regions of fundamental functional importance: the anti-codon, which is responsible for specific mRNA codon recognition, and the 3' end, to which the tRNAs corresponding amino acid is attached (by aminoacyl-tRNA synthetases). tRNAs cope with the degeneracy of the genetic code in two manners: having more than one tRNA (with a specific anti-codon) for a particular amino acid; and 'wobble' base-pairing, i.e. permitting non-standard base-pairing at the 3rd anti-codon position. The record is from Rfam. Lineage: Eukaryota; Fungi; Kickxellomycota; Kickxellomycetes; Kickxellales; Kickxellaceae.